This is a small nuclear RNA of Impatiens glandulifera, 161 nucleotides long. RefSeq annotates it as U1 spliceosomal RNA. The record is from RefSeq and is a predicted model, not a curated record. The transcript has a single exon. Lineage: Eukaryota; Viridiplantae; Streptophyta; Magnoliopsida; Ericales; Balsaminaceae.
UUACUUACCUGGACAGGGUCAAUGGGCGAUCAAGAAGGCCCAUGGUCUAGAUUCACGGUCUCCAUUGCACUCUGGUGAUGCGUUUGUCUAAGGUCAGCCCAAUGGGUUGAGCCUGUGUCAUAAUUUGUGGCAGAGGGGGCCUGCGUUCGCGCGGCUCCUAC